Molecule: long non-coding RNA, 273 nt
Filed under: Phasianus colchicus (ring-necked pheasant)
Lineage: Eukaryota; Metazoa; Chordata; Aves; Galliformes; Phasianidae
Description: lncRNA (ENSPCLG00000018495.1)
Source: RNAcentral
GAAAGAGCAGAGGUCCGCAACGUGGGAUGAGCUAAAACCUGAAUGGGUUCUGACAUGCUGGAGUACGAAUUGGAAACCAAGGAUCACAAUUUCAUAUAUGUAAAUCAACCUAUUUCUUUGCCAGAGUCUGUGGAAUUAAUCUUCCUGCCUACAGAAGAAACUGGAGAAGUCCAAACAUGUAUGCCGUGAAUGCUGUAAAAAGCAUCAAAUAAUAGUUCUGAAUGAAAAUCCACAGUGGUGAGAACUUUUCUGAUAUUUAUAAGAAGACCAAAG